This 253-nucleotide ribosomal RNA is filed under the name uncultured bacterium. Its description in RNAcentral is "partial 16S ribosomal RNA". It matches the Rfam family "Bacterial small subunit ribosomal RNA", at positions 524 to 776 of the family's 1533-position model. The record is from RNAcentral.
UACGUAGGGGGCAAGCGUUGUCCGGAAUCAUUGGGCGUAAAGCGCGUGUAGGCGGCCCGGUAAGUCCGCUGUGAAAGUCCAAGGCUCAACCUUGGAAUGCCGGUGGAUACUGUCGGGCUCGAGUCCGGAAGAGGCGAGUGGAAUUCCUGGUGUAGCGGUGAAAUGCGCAGAUAUCAGGAGGAACACCAAUGGCGAAGGCAGCUCGCUGGGACGUGACUGACGCUGAGACGCGAAAGCGUGGGGAGCAAACAGG